This 440-nucleotide ribosomal RNA is filed under the name uncultured bacterium. RNAcentral's name for it is "partial 16S ribosomal RNA". It matches the Rfam family "Bacterial small subunit ribosomal RNA", at positions 338 to 795 of the family's 1533-position model. The record is from RNAcentral.
CCUACGGGUGGCUGCAGUGGGGGAUAUUGCACAAUGGGGGAAACCCUGAUGCAGCGAAGCAGCGUGAGUGAAGAAGUCCUUAGGUAUGUAAAGCUCUAUUUGUAGGGAAGUAAAUGAAAGUACCUGACCCAGUUGCUCUGGAUAACUCCGUGCCAGCAGCCGCGGUAAUACGGAGGGGGCAAGCGUUAUCCGGAUUUACUGGGUGUAAAGGGAGUGUAGAGGGUUAUGUAAGUCUGUAGUGAAAGCCUGGGGCCCAACCCCGAGACUGCUUUUGAAACUGUGUAACUGGAGUACAGGCGGGGCAGGCGGAAUUCCUGGUGUAGCGGUGAAAUGCGUAGAUAUCACGAGGAACACCGGCGGCGAAGGCAGCCUACUAGACUGAAACUGACGUUGAUGCUCGAAAGCGUGGGUAGCAAACAGGAUUAGAUACCCUAGUAGUC